UGCAGAGAUUUUAUAUGACAUAUGUAUUGUAUAUUCAUACUUGUGGAAUCUUCAAUUUUUGUUUUGUACCUCAUUGAUUGACGACAUCACUUGUCUUUUUAGUAAUGCGCCAGUAACAAUUUGUAUGCAGUGAUUUGCACGUGUCGCACACUUUAAGUACGUACUGUAAUGCGAAAAAACAACAACUUAUACUUGAACUUUCAAGUGUUCCCAGAGAUGGGAAAAAUCAACUUCAAGGUUUUGUAAAGCAAAUAUUAUGUACAGAUAUGUAUCGCAUUCUGUGGAUAUUUAUGUAAUGGUCAACAUAAGCAAACCAGUAGUGAGAGGUCGUAAACAAUUUAACAGGUCAGGAAGGUUUUUUAUACGUUUGGUGGGAUUGGCAGGUAAUCAUCUACUGUGAGCUGUUUCCCUCCCAAACUCAUAAUUCGGAUAUGUGCUGUAAACGAUUGGACUGUCUGAAGGAAGCAAUCACCCAAAAGCGGCCAGCUGUAACUGUGUUCCAUCACGACAGAAUCAGGCCACAUCCAACGACAGUGAUAAGGCCACAUUUGUAUGAGUUCCUAAAAGAAGCAUCGUUGUCAAUUGGAAACAGGGAAGAUUUUGGAAGGCUGGCAGUCAACAAAAUUUGUGGAAACUUCUGUCAAUAUUUACGUCAACUUUUAAAAAAUUGCAAGAAUGUAAAAAAGUUAAUACCGGAAUAAAUGAGAAGAGGUACAUACUGAUAUACAGGAUUCACCCAAGUCAUGGAGGGAACAUUUUCCAAUCUAAUGAACCAAAAACUGGAAGGAAUAUGGAGUAGCAAUACUGCUGUUGCGGUGAUAUAAAACGUUUAUCGAUUCUUACAUACAUAUAUUCUUCUUAACUUAUAAUUAAAAUUUAAGUUCACCAUAAAUAAACUGAUUGUUCCUUAUUGGUGUGGUUUUAUACCUUCGAAAUAUAUAAUUGAUCGGAGAUUUUUUAUGCGCCAAGUCUUAAAAAAGAUCUAGGAAAAAUUUAUCGAUAUUACCCGCUUAUCCGAGCAUACAUGCCAAUAUUUCUAAAUUCGGAUCUAAGCGAAGUUAACUUUCGUGCUAUCGAUCAAAGUAUCAAAUUAAAAAGAACGAUGCUUGUCAUUGUUAUUGCUUUUCCAGCAGCAUUCAAAAUUGCCAAAACAUUUGCGGGAAUUAUUGUCGUGUUGUUAGUCCUUAGCCAGAUAAAAAUCCGGAACAAUUGUCAUUACGAAUUCACGCCAAAUGAGAAAGUUUUACAACAAUGGUUAAUCCUUGGCUUUUUAUAAUUUAAUUUCGAAGAAAAUGUAUUUAUUUAAAAUUAACAUGUACAUAA
Non-coding RNA from Bactrocera oleae (olive fruit fly), 1323 nucleotides. The record is from RefSeq and is a predicted model, not a curated record. NCBI's taxonomy places the organism in Eukaryota, Metazoa, Arthropoda, Insecta, Diptera, Tephritidae.